RNAcentral lists this ribosomal RNA (1627 nucleotides) under Escherichia coli. RNAcentral's name for it is "partial 23S ribosomal RNA". It matches the Rfam family "Bacterial large subunit ribosomal RNA", at positions 612 to 2224 of the family's 2925-position model. Lineage: Bacteria; Pseudomonadati; Pseudomonadota; Gammaproteobacteria; Enterobacterales; Enterobacteriaceae. The record is from RNAcentral.
AUAAUGGGUCAGCGACUUAUAUUCUGUAGCAAGGUUAACCGAAUAGGGGAGCCGAAGGGAAACCGAGUCUUAACUGGGCGUUAAGUUGCAGGGUAUAGACCCGAAACCCGGUGAUCUAGCCAUGGGCAGGUUGAAGGUUGGGUAACACUAACUGGAGGACCGAACCGACUAAUGUUGAAAAAUUAGCGGAUGACUUGUGGCUGGGGGUGAAAGGCCAAUCAAACCGGGAGAUAGCUGGUUCUCCCCGAAAGCUAUUUAGGUAGCGCCUCGUGAAUUCAUCUCCGGGGGUAGAGCACUGUUUCGGCAAGGGGGUCAUCCCGACUUACCAACCCGAUGCAAACUGCGAAUACCGGAGAAUGUUAUCACGGGAGACACACGGCGGGUGCUAACGUCCGUCGUGAAGAGGGAAACAACCCAGACCGCCAGCUAAGGUCCCAAAGUCAUGGUUAAGUGGGAAACGAUGUGGGAAGGCCCAGACAGCCAGGAUGUUGGCUUAGAAGCAGCCAUCAUUUAAAGAAAGCGUAAUAGCUCACUGGUCGAGUCGGCCUGCGCGGAAGAUGUAACGGGGCUAAACCAUGCACCGAAGCUGCGGCAGCGACGCUGAUGCGUUGUUGGGUAGGGGAGCGUUCUGUAAGCCUGUGAAGGUGUGCUGUGAGGCAUGCUGGAGGUAUCAGAAGUGCGAAUGCUGACAUAAGUAACGAUAAAGCGGGUGAAAAGCCCGCUCGCCGGAAGACCAAGGGUUCCUGUCCAACGUUAAUCGGGGCAGGGUGAGUCGACCCCUAAGGCGAGGCCGAAAGGCGUAGUCGAUGGGAAACAGGUUAAUAUUCCUGUACUUGGUGUUACUGCGAAGGGGGGACGGAGAAGGCUAUGUUGGCCGGGCGACGGUUGUCCCGGUUUAAGCGUGUAGGCUGGUUUUCCAGGCAAAUCCGGAAAAUCAAGGCUGAGGCGUGAUGACGAGGCACUACGGUGCUGAAGCAACAAAUGCCCUGCUUCCAGGAAAAGCCUCUAAGCAUCAGGUAACAUCAAAUCGUACCCCAAACCGACACAGGUGGUCAGGUAGAGAAUACCAAGGCGCUUGAGAGAACUCGGGUGAAGGAACUAGGCAAAAUGGUGCCGUAACUUCGGGAGAAGGCACGCUGAUAUGUAGGUGAAGUCCCUCGCGGAUGGAGCUGAAAUCAGUCGAAGAUACCAGCUGGCUGCAACUGUUUAUUAAAAACACAGCACUGUGCAAACACGAAAGUGGACGUAUACGGUGUGACGCCUGCCCGGUGCCGGAAGGUUAAUUGAUGGGGUCAGCGCAAGCGAAGCUCUUGAUCGAAGCCCCGGUAAACGGCGGCCGUAACUAUAACGGUCCUAAGGUAGCGAAAUUCCUUGUCGGGUAAGUUCCGACCUGCACGAAUGGCGUAAUGAUGGCCAGGCUGUCUCCACCCGAGACUCAGUGAAAUUGAACUCGCUGUGAAGAUGCAGUGUACCCGCGGCAAGACGGAAAGACCCCGUGAACCUUUACUAUAGCUUGACACUGAACAUUGAGCCUUGAUGUGUAGGAUAGGUGGGAGGCUUUGAAGUGUGGACGCCAGUCUGCAUGGAGCCGGCCUUGAAAUACCACCCUUUAAUGUUUGAUGUUCUA